CUUCUUUUCCGGUGGGCAGAGUUGGGGAGAAAGAUUCUGCGGAUUCUACUUAGGCCGACAUUGGGCAUUGAUUGGCUUCGGCUAUUUGCGCUUUGGGUCAUGAACAGCAAAACAGAAGCAGGAGACUAACUUUCUUUCCUUACUUUUUGGGCCGAGCCCUACGGCAGGGGGAAGUUCUAGAGGCGGGGAUCGAACCCGCCUCUCAGACGAGAUCGGCGCUAAGGUUGGGAACGGCCGCUCCUUGACCCGCUGUACCACUGGGAAAAAUUACGAGCCUGUUUUCUCGUUGUUUCAAUUCGAAGACUCCUCUCCCCGCUUCAGAACUGAAAAGUAUCGCACUCAAAAUUUAGCAAAAAACUGAAGUCGCGGCGCACAGGGGUGACAGGAAAAGACAGCUUUGCUCUUUCUUACUUCACCGCCACUAUCCCCAAGCGAUCUGGAAUCUAAAUUAAGGAGUUCAUUCCUCCUUUCAACGAAGAGUUUCUGGGCGUCAGGCGGAAGCUGACGCUACCCUUGCCUCGGGGAAGCUGUUACGUUCUAGACCCCAAGAGCUGAGCUUCCGGAACAGAUGGUCCGCCACCAGGCCAGUAAAGGAGAUGGGUUAAGCACGAAGCGAAUCAUCUAGAGAGGCAACUGCUCACCGGCUCAGGGAAGUGAUUCAAUUUCCAGGCCUGAGCCUACCCAGGAAGACUACCCUGACCCUCACCUAGCCGGUAAAGUGUCCUAGGAUGGGUUCAAAGUCAGAAUUUGAGCUCUUUAGGGAAGAUUCUCAAUUACUGAGCUUCGAAGGCAGUGUCAUCUUUGGUACCAGUGAGGUACGGUUUGGCACACACUGCACUCAGGUUCGAAUCCAGUCGUCCCUUCCUCAAGCUUCUGAGAAGUCGUCAGUUCAUUUUAGUAGGUGGUGAUGGUCCUGCCUGGCCCAUGCCCUAAAGAAGGUGAGAGAUAAAUUUGUCUAUGUGGCUUGUUACUCUAAGUCAGCCUCUACAAUAGUGACAUUUUGGAUCAUUCUUUACUGUGGGGGCCUGUCAUAUGCUUUGCAGAAUUUUAGCAGCAUCCUUGAUCUUUACCCACUAGACACCGGAAGUACUGUCCAGUUGUGACAACUGAAAAAGUCUCCAGACAUUGUCAAAUAUCCCCUAGGAGGCAAAAUCCUCCCUAAAUACUGAAGGUGCAACUAAAGUAUUAUUUUUCUAUGUUUGGUUUGUCUUCUCAAUCUUUUAGCAGUCUCUUUUGGAGGGCAAAAUUCUUGAUUUUAUGAAGUAUGAUUAAUCAUGUUUUUCUUUUAUGGAUCAUACUUUUCAUGUUGCAUCCAGGAAGUCUUUCCCCAAACACAGUUGACAGUUAUUUUACUCUAAAUAUUUUACAGUUUUGAUUUAUGAUCCAUAUGGAGUUAAUUUUUUAUUCAGUGUGAAGUAGGGAUCAAAAUUAUUUUUCAAAAGAACAUCACUAUUGAAAAUACUACCUUUCUGUACUGAAUUGCCUUUGAAAUUUUGUCAACAAUUAGUUGAUAAUACAUAUGUGGUUCUACCUCUGUACUCCUGUCCAAUAAGAUCUUUUUUUUAAAUUUUAAUACCAAUACUACAGUCUAGAUGAUAGCAGCUUUAUAAGUCCUGAUAUCAAAGUUCUCCAACUUUUUUCUUCUUUUCAAAAUUGUUUGGGGGCAUGAACUUUGGAAUGAGCUGGUCAUUUUCUGAAAAAAACAAAACAAAACAAAACACCCAACUCUGUUGUUAUUUUUAUUUGAAUUGCAUUGAACCUAUAAUCCAAUCUAGGGAUAACUGAUAUCUUAACAUAUUGAGACUUCUUAAUAUGUUCUCCUUGCAUUUAGGUUUUAUUUCAUUUCUCUUAGCUUAGCUUUUUUUUUUUUUUUGGUAUGCAAGUGUUGGACAUAUUUUAAUGCUAUUAUGUAUUUAGUAAGUCUAUAGUAAAUUGGAUUGCUUUUUAAAAUUUCAACUUCUGAUUGUUCAUUGUUAGUAUAUAUACUAUAAAUACAAUACAUAACAUAUAUACUAUGCAUAUAGUAUAAACAAUUACAUAUACAAUUAAUUUCAAUAUUAAUCUUAUAUUCCACCACUUUGUUAGAUUCACUUAUUAUAGCUUUCUGUAGAUUCCAUAGGAUUUUUUCCAUAGGCUUUCAUGUUUUCUUGGAAAAUAAGACAGCUUUACUUACUUUUUUAAACACAAACUUGAUGUCUUCUAUUUCAAUUUUUUUUUCAUAAUUGGGCAAAAAAAAACCUAUAGUUUAAUGUUCCAUAAAAGUGAUGAAAGCAGAUGUCCUUGGGAGUUCCCUUGUGGCACAGUGGAUUAAAGAUCCAGUAUUAUCAUUUCAGCAGCUAGGGUUACUGCUGUGCCUAGGUUUAGAUCCCACAUGUUGCAGGCAUGGCCAAAAAAAGAGGAGAAAAGAAAGCAGAUGUCCUUGUUUGCUCCUCAUCUUACAGGGGAAACAUUCAGUCUUUUAUUUAAGUUGAAGUCAGAAGUUUUCUAUAGAUGCCCUUUAUUAGGCUGAAGAAGUUCCCUUCUCUUCCUAAUUUGCUGAGAGUUUGUAUCAAGAAUGCAUGCAAAGGUUGUCAAAUGCUUUGCAUCUUUUGGUAAGAUCCAAUGAUUUUUUUUUUUUGUUAAUCUGUUAUCAUGAAUUACAUGAAUUGAUUUUGAAUAUUAAACCAACCUUGCUUUUUGGGGAUAAAGCCCACUUGAUCAUUAUAUAUUAUUAUUUCAUAUAUUGUGGAUUCAACUUGCUAAUGUAUUAAGUUUUUUUGCUUCUAUGUUCUUUAAAGAUAUUGGUCUGUAGUUUUCUUUUUUUCGUAGUGUCUUUGGCUGGUUUUGAUGCCAAAAUAUGCAGGCUUCAUAGAAAAGUUGGGAAUUAUUAUCUCUUCAUUAAUUUAAUGGGAGGAGUUGUUUAUAAAUGGCAUUAUUUCUUCCUAAAAUGUUUGUUAAAACUCGCCAGUCAAGUUUUCUGGGUCUUGUAAAUAGAUUGCAGAAUACAAAACUUGCAAUAAUUAAGGCCUAUGGGGACUUCACAACUAGCUCCUGCUUCGUGGACUGAUGUUUGAAUUAAAGAGUCUGCUUUUUGUAUUCU
Molecule: long non-coding RNA, 3079 nt
Filed under: Sus scrofa (pig)
Lineage: Eukaryota; Metazoa; Chordata; Mammalia; Artiodactyla; Suidae
Description: lncRNA (ENSSSCG00050003258.1, ENSSSCG00190024912.1)
Source: RNAcentral